UACGUAGGGUGCAAGCGUUGUCCGGAAUUAUUGGGCGUAAAGAGCUCGUAGGCGGUCUGUCGCGUCGGCUGUGAAAUCCCGAGGCUCAACCUCGGGUCUGCAGUCGAUACGGGCAAACUAGAGUAUUGCAGGGGAGACUGGAAUUCCUGGUGUAGCGGUAAAAAUGCGCAGAUAUCAGGAGGAACACCGAGUGGCGAAGGCAGGUCUCUGGGCAUU
Molecule: ribosomal RNA, 216 nt
Filed under: uncultured bacterium
Lineage: Bacteria
Description: partial 16S ribosomal RNA
Rfam family: Bacterial small subunit ribosomal RNA
Source: RNAcentral